CCAAAGGCUCUUUUCAGAGCCACUCAGUUGUCAGUGUUAGAGCUGU
Myotis brandtii (Brandt's bat) is the source of this 46-nucleotide non-coding RNA. Lineage: Eukaryota; Metazoa; Chordata; Mammalia; Chiroptera; Vespertilionidae. The record is from Rfam.